CGUGUUCGGGUCAAAGGAGGUCACGGUUCAUGUGUUUUGCCUCGUGCUUACGUGUGUACUGCGGAAGUUGCACCUCUUUUCGGAGUAGCUAAUUAGUCACGUCCUGAGAACCUUAUAUUCUUCCCGGUCUUUUUUUACAUACCCUUAAGGUUGCUAGAGCUUACGAUAAUGCAUUUAAGGUAGACAUAGCCAAACGGAAGAGCGGCAAGUUGUACAGUCUUCUUUAGCCUAUGACCUACUUUGCAGUAUACUUCUAUCGGGAAGAAUCAGCUGGCUUACGUAACAACGCAACAAGCCACGGAAACGUCUUGACAUCCAGACCUUAAAGAAGCCAUAGGCACUAAGGCCAAGAAUGGAGCAGACGACUUCGCCACCUAGCGGUUACACCUGUAAGCUCAGCGAAGAGGCCCUGAAAAAGGCACGAGAAGAACUGAACGAAGACCCGUCCACCAGGCUGGCUAUGGUAGAAGCUCUCAGGGAAAGGAUUAAGCAAAGUCCCGAUCUCUGUAUCCAAGACGACGACCACAUUCUUUUAAGGUUCCUUCGAGCAAGAUACUUCAACGUUGAACAAGCAUUCAAGUUAUUGGAGAAGUACCACAAAUGGCGAGCUCAGAGCCCGGAGAUCUGCAGUAACAUGCGCCCCUCCAGUGUACGCGGACUGCUAGAGGCGGGCUAUCAUGCCGCGCUACCGGGUAGGGACCAGGACGGCAGGAAGGUCAUGUUCUAUAGAAUAGGAAAAUGGGAUCCGUAUCAAUUUUCUGCGUACGAGGUUUUCAGAGUGAGCAUGAUCAGCUCGGAGAAGAUCAUCCAAGAGGAGGAUACCCAGGUCCAUGGGAUCGCUAUGAUUGCGGACCUGGCCGGACUCUCAUUUUCACAUGCCUAUCAAAUCGGACCGCGAGUCGCCAAAAAGAUUGGCUCAAUAACAACGGACGCAUUUCCCAUCCGGGUUAAGGAGAUUCACCUACUGAAUCAACCGAUGUUGUUUGAUGCCAUCUUCGCUAUCAUUAAGCCAUUUAUGUCCGAGAAAAUGAGAAACAGGAUACACCUUCACGGACCCAAGACAGAGACGCUUCUGCAGUAUGUGGACCGUGAUGCUUUGCCGCCGGAAUAUGGCGGAACUGGGCCCCCAUUGGACGAGGCGUGCCGACUGUGGACGGACACCCUGCUAGCCUGCGAGGACGAAUUCUCCGCCAUGUCUUAUUCUGGCCAGGAACUAGUCGCUAUAGAAGAAGAAGAAGAAGAAGAAGAAGAAGAAGUAGAAGAUGAAGAGGUUGAAGAGGCUGCCGAAGUGGAAGAGAGCUGAAUAUGACCUCUACAUAUCAGAAGACGUCUUACAUUCUUCCCAGCAUUCAUUGCAACACAUAUUCCACACAAUGUCAGAUCUGCAGGCGACCGUGUACAACAAGUGUAAUUGUUGACAAUUGUUACAAAUGAAAUAACAUGAAAUAUAUUUUUCUUUAUUUGCCCAUGUGUUAAAUUUUCAUGUGACUUAUUCGCUGAUGGACAAGCAAAAGGUUUGGGCACAAUAUUUGAAGGAAAUGUAUUUGCAUCAUUGUCCACCAGUGUGUAUGAUUUUCACACAAUGCAAAAAGUUGUACCGAAGUUUUUAAAGUCAGUUUCAUGGACUGUUAUAGUCUUUUGACAAUUCAAGCAAAGCAAAUUAAAUGAUCAAAUUCUAAGGGACCCUGCUCUGUCAAAGGUCACAACCCCAUCCGGUAUGUGUACUUUGGAACUUGUGUCGCAAGGAAUGCUGGGAAGUGUGUCAGACCUCCUCUGUCUACAGACAAAUGCAUUUCCUCCUUUAACUGCCGGGAAUAAAGAAUUAAGAGAAUGAAUACAGAGGGUUCGUGGAAAACAUAUGAAACGUUUUGAAACUCACCAAUUGAUAUCAGUCCACUGGGCUUUUUAGAUCUUCUUACAACAGUCUAGUUUACAAGAAAUAUUUUUGUAAUUUUUCAUCCGAGCCAUAGGUGGAGAAAGAAGUGUGUUACAGCCAUGUAAUUUGCCACUUUUAUGUUCGAGUGAUAAUGACCUAUUUGUACAUAUUGUAGAUAGAAAUAUGAGAUUUACAGAUUAAAUUUCUUUAUGAAUUGUGUAAAAAUAAAGAACUUACAAGUAA
Branchiostoma floridae (Florida lancelet) is the source of this 2119-nucleotide RNA transcript. It is a transcript of the gene named alpha-tocopherol transfer protein-like, with no coding region annotated. The transcript has 8 exons. The record is from RefSeq and is a predicted model, not a curated record. Lineage: Eukaryota; Metazoa; Chordata; Leptocardii; Amphioxiformes; Branchiostomatidae.